UCCCAAUGUGCUGGGCGCGAUUGACUGUACCCACGUGCAGAUCAGACCGCCACGGAAUUCAGAGGAAUGUUUUCGGAACCGAAAACAGUUCCAUUCCCUGAACGUGCAGGCGGUCUGUGAUGUAAACAUGAGAUUUUUGAACAUUUUUGUGGGAUUUCCUGGAUCAUCUCACGACUCCUUCAUCCUAAGCCAGUCAUCGCUGUUUGACAAGUUUGAAACAGGAAACAUGCCUGGUGGCUGGCUGUUAGGCGAUGCGGGUUAUCCAAACAAACCGUGGCUGUUGACCCCAUUGUCUAAUCCUGUUGGUAGAGCAGAAAAACGUUACCAAGAGACACACAUUGCAUCGAGGGGAGUAAUUGAGCGUGCCUUCGGUGUACUUAAAAGCCGGUUUCGAUGUUUAGACACUUCCGGCGGUGCUCUUUUGUACUCACCGUCGAAGGUUUGCGGCAUGGUAAAUGCAUGUUGUAUUUUACACAACAUAUGUGUCGCAAACCGUUUGCCGGUGACUCUUCGUCGCAGUGCUUUCCGACGCGGGAACCGGUCUUCUGCUCUACCGGUGGGUAUGGACGAAGGAGAGGAUUCCCGGCGGACAUUGAUCCAAAAUUAUUUUGCAGUUGCCUAGUUUUACAUCCUGUUGAUGUAUAUCCCCAGGCCAUGUUUGUACAGUUCGUUACCCCGUUUUAUCCUGUUGUUGGGUUCCCGCAAAUAUUUGAUCCUUUUAUCCAACUCUACCAUGGGUGAACCUACUGGUGAUGUGGACCUGACCCUCCGCCAUGUAGCAGACAACCCCCCUCAGGUCCUGCGAUGUAUCUUCCCAAGUGGCGUGGAUGUGAGGAGACACGACAUUUCACCUGAUGUUCCAUGGGUGACCCUACUGGUGAUGUGGACCUGACCCUCCGCCAUGUAGCAGACAACCCCCCUCAGGUCCUGCGAUGUAUCUUCCCAAGUGGCGUGGAUGUGAGGAGACACGACAUUUCACCUGAUGUUCCAUGGGUGACCCUACUGGUGAUGUGGACCUGACCCUCCGCCAUGUAGCAGACAACCCCCC
Long non-coding RNA from Pseudophryne corroboree (corroboree frog), 1048 nucleotides. RefSeq lists it as uncharacterized. The record is from RefSeq and is a predicted model, not a curated record. The transcript has 5 exons. NCBI's taxonomy places the organism in Eukaryota, Metazoa, Chordata, Amphibia, Anura, Myobatrachidae.